GUCCACGCCGUAACGAUGGAUACUAGAUGUUGGAGGAAUUGAUCCCUUCAGUGUCUACGCUAACGCAUUAAGUAUCCCGCCUGGGGAGUACGGUCGCAAGACUAAACUCAAAGGAAUAGACGGGGCCCGCACAAGCGGUGGAGCAUGUGGUUCAAUUCGACGCAACGCGAAGAACCUUACCUGGUCUUGACAUCCGGAGAACCCGCCAGAGAUGGUGGGGUGCCGUAAGGAACUCCGAGACAGGUGCUGCAUGGCUGUCGU
This 261-nucleotide ribosomal RNA is filed under the name uncultured bacterium. RNAcentral describes it as "partial 16S ribosomal RNA". It matches the Rfam family "Bacterial small subunit ribosomal RNA", at positions 793 to 1055 of the family's 1533-position model. The record is from RNAcentral.